This 449-nucleotide ribosomal RNA is filed under the name uncultured bacterium. Its description in RNAcentral is "partial 16S ribosomal RNA". It matches the Rfam family "Bacterial small subunit ribosomal RNA", at positions 354 to 796 of the family's 1533-position model. The record is from RNAcentral.
GUGGGGAAUUUUGGACAAUGGGCGCAAGCCUGAUCCAGCAAUGCCGCGUGUGUGAAGAAGGCCUUCGGGUUGUAAAGCACUUUUGGUAGGAAAGAAAUAGCGCGUGCUAAUACCAUGCGCGAAUGACGGUACCUGCAGAAUAAGCACCGGCUAACUACGUGCAAGCAGCCGCGGUAAGACGUAGGGUGCAAGCGUUAAUCGGAAUUACUGGGCGUAAAGCGUGCGCAGGCGGUUUUGUAAGACAGGUGUGAAAUCCCCGGGCGCAACCUGGGAACGGCACUGGUGACUGCAAGGCUAGAGUGUGUCAGGGGGAGGUUGAAUUCCGCGUGUAGCAGUGAAAUGCGUAGAGAUGCGGAGGAACACCGAUGGCGAAGGCAGCCUCCUGGGAUAACACUGACGCUCAGGCACGAAAGCGUGGGGAGCAAACAGGAUUAGAUCCCUUGUAGUCC